RNAcentral lists this long non-coding RNA (3635 nucleotides) under Homo sapiens (human). Its description in RNAcentral is "HSALNT0195173". The record is from RNAcentral. Lineage: Eukaryota; Metazoa; Chordata; Mammalia; Primates; Hominidae.
GUUCUUAUUAUUUACAUUCCUAUUCUUGGUCCCAUCGAUUCUUAAGCAGAUGCUAGGUCAGCUCGAAAUUUCCCCAUCUAAACUGCAAAGACGAGCGAUAUUCAUGAGGGGCCAUGGGGAAUAGAUGGGCCAGCUUGCCACCGCUGCUAAUUUUUAUUUGCAUCUCAAGUGGGCCUUGUCGCCUUCCUGAUGUGGGGAAGCACCACGAGGAUUCAGUGGGGGCAGGGAACACGUGCCCCCUGGUCGGAGGGAAUCCAGGGGCUCUCUGCAUCCAUGGCUGGCGGCUGGAGAGGGUUUGCCAUCAGAGCUCGGAAGGCCCAGCCCGUUGCCUCCCGUGAAACACUGGGUAGUUUCUCAUUUUCCCCUUGAGUAGUUUCACAGCCCAGUUAAACCUGCAGCAAAGGCUGGCUGGGAUGGAGACCCCGGCCCAGGAAGGAGGCGGGUGAGGGGAAGCAAAUAUACCCCACACUGUGCCCUGCCCCCACCACACACACAAAAAUAUGAAAUGGCCAGGAAGAACUCAAAGGAGAAAGUGAUUUACAAACACUGGCCCUGGCUCCAAGACAAGCAUUCCCCAAAUACGAAAAAAGACACCGCACAGAGAUCCCACUUUGGGACAUUUAUUUUGCAAACUGAACAGCAAACCGCACAAAGACAUCCUAUUGCAGCUCCUUAUCUUUUAGAGCAGCAAUUUGCCCCCUGGUCCAUUUCCCUAAUGUGUGGUUCAGCUGCAGAAUUCUUGCUUUGAUUGUGAUAGCCAGGGGUGUGAUCAUCUUUAGUUAUAGGGGGGUUGGAAGUGCUACUUUUGAGAAUCUGCCCUCCCCCAGAUGCUCAUUAACAAUACUGGCCCAUAACCAUGUGAGGGAGGCUCUUAUGCCCAUUUUUCAGGUGCAGCAAUUGAGGCUCAGAGAGGUGUGGUGACUUGCCCAGGGUCAUACAGCUCAGAAACCACAGACUCAGGCCUCAGGCUUCAGGCCCAUCCACCCCCACUCCCCACCCCUGUCCAUCUGACUCUGAAGUCAGUGUUAGUUCCAAAAGAUACCCGGAUGGGCCGGAGCAGGGAGGGAGAAAACGGGGCCAUCAUCUUACAAACAGCUUCCGGUCUGGGGUCCAGGAAGUCCCAGCCGGCUGCAGCUGUGACAGCAUCAAUUUCCCCUCAGGCUCACUGGUCCCUUUUGCAGCUCGCUUUCAAUCAGUGCCAGCAACUGGAAUGAGACCCUCCCGCCAGUGUCAGCCCUGGCCCAUAGACAGGGUCAGGCACCACACGUGGGCAUCUCGGGGUGCUUUCUCUGCCCUCAUAGGGCUCUGGAAUCGGGGUUAUCAGGGUCAUCAGGCUGGGCAACACGAGUCCAGCUUCUUGAAGCUUCAAAGUGUCAAAGGCUUCUGGAGCCGAGCCCCCACCGUAUCCCUGCUGCCUUUGCCCAGUGGUCUCCAGCCUCAUGGUAACAAUUCUCAUUGUGAUUAGAAUUGUCUGCUCCACUUCAGCCACUAGGGCCACCUUGCAGUCCCUUAUGCUCUCUGUCCCCUUCUUUUCUCCAGGUCUCUGCUCAGAUGUGGCCUCAUCAGAGAGGCCUUCCCUUCCAUCCUGUGUAAAAUACCACCCCCAACACGCUCUGUCCCCAGCUCCUUUGAUUUUCUUCCUAGCACUUAACAUCCUCUGACAUACUUUAUAUUUAUUUGUUUAUUGCUUCUCCUCCCUCCCCAACUAGAAUGUUCCAUGAGGGCGGGGUGUGUUAUCUUGGUCUCUGUUGAGUCCCCAGUGCCCAGAAUGACUCCUGGACAAAGGCACAUGGAUAUGGAGUGAACGAGAGUUUGUAGGCAGAGAGCGCCGCGGGCUCCCUCCUUAGUCAUCACCACCCUUCAAGUGUUCUUUGGAAAUGGGCUUACAGACCAGUCACCAGAAAAAUGCCUCCCAGAGAAUGCACGGGUUCACCUUCUCCCGCUAGACUUCCCCAACCAGCACAAUAAACAAAGCGGCAUAAAUAAACCAGCCUCCUUCGCGAAGUACCUUGUGAGUGGUCACUUCCCCCAGGCAAGCGGGCUGGUGACUGUCUGCAAGGUUAGUUGCAUUCGCACUAAACUCUUGGGCAAAGCUAGCGUGUCAUCACAAUUGUUUUCUUUUAACUCAUUGCUAAGGUCCUCUGAGAAUGGUGCUCAGUGGGGAAGGGGCGAGAUGGCUGCCUUUUCUGGAGCAGAGAUGAAAUCAUCUCUUCUGCCCUGCAUGCUUGGACAUUUAAUGCUGACCAGGCCUCCAGGCUUCUCAGACCUGGACGGGGAAGCUGGACUUUCUCCAGCCCAGUGCCGCACUGCCCCGUGUUGUAGAAUGAACAUGAGACUUCAAUACAGAGGAAGGCAGGCUUCCCAGUGCUUAGGGUUUCUUCCCCAAAGGAGCAAAGUAAUCUUCAAACCAUGAGUGAGAAGUAGCCCAUGAAUGAGAAAUUCGCGUCCCAUUCUCUAAAGACUCAACCACCCCAUUCUGGCAUGGUUUUAGAAUAUUUAUUAUUCUUUUUUCUUUCACCUAUGAUAUGUAUAUUGGGUUCUUAUAUCUAAAUACAAAAACAAGAUGCCUUUUAAACUUUGUGCCCCAAACAGCCGUUUGUGCAGACGCUCCCCGCGUUGACAAGACGGAGGGUGGAAAUCAGUCACCGCAUGUUCCCACUGUUGACCUCCUAGAGAUAAGUCCCUUCUGCCACCUCCACCAGCAUCCCCACCCCCUCCCUCCUUCCCCCUAUUCAGGGAAACGAGGUUUUGCUUUUCAGCCCCGUUUCUGGUUACAUAUGUACACGGCUGAUAAAAUAUUCCUCUUCACCCCUUCUCCCUGUGGGACCCGCCGUCUUACGGGGAAAGGGAUUGUAUGACAGCGACCGCAACAGACGACGUGUCGCCUGGAAACCACAGUGGGGAGGGGGGGGGUGGUGACUCUCCCCUCUCCUUUUUAUUCAAAUUCCCACUCCUGGUUUUGAUAACGGCAUCAUUGCUGGAGAGAAAAGGCUGGGGCUUCCUCCAUGGAACUCUGGCCAAGGCCCAGAUGGUCACCCUCCUGUCCUUGAGAGAGAGGGAGAAUGCCACCGAGGUCCUGACCAUUUGCUCCCUGGCAAUGGGCACCUGAGGCUACCCGGGCCUGCGAGGAGGUUGGUUCUGCCCUCCUGCUAAGUAGGCAAGGUCUGUCUUCUGCACAGCAGGCUCAGUUGGUUCUACACAGAGUUCACUCUCCCUUCGUGGCCAGGAUAGUUGGGGCCAGAGAAGAAUUUGGGUGGGGGAAAUUUCCACAGAAGCAAACAUGGCUAGCUGGAUGGAGUCCAGCAAUGGGAGAAGGAGGGGCUGGGCACUGUGCAUGGAGAGGAGGAGGUCUCGGCUGCUGAGAUUGUCCAGGAAGGAUGAAGAUAAAGGAAGGUCUAUGGGGUUUGCCCCAAGGGUUCGAGGAGACUCUAGACGGUGCCUUUGCAGAGACAGAUUUCUGCUUGUCUCUCCACCCACUUGGUUCCCUCAUGUCUCCCUUCAUGUGUAACUGAUGUUCUCCAAAUCCAGAAUAUUCCAGAAGCAGAAGAUGGGGCAAAGGAAGGUUCAGGGAGGUUAGGGGCCAGAGGGAGGCUUCUUUCCCCAAGCUUCUUGACAACCUCCUUUGCCAAAAAGCA